RNAcentral lists this transfer RNA (72 nucleotides) under Camelus bactrianus (Bactrian camel). It matches the Rfam family "tRNA". From Rfam's summary of the family: Transfer RNA (tRNA) molecules are approximately 80 nucleotides in length. Their secondary structure includes four short double-helical elements and three loops (D, anti-codon, and T loops). Further hydrogen bonds mediate the characteristic L-shaped molecular structure. tRNAs have two regions of fundamental functional importance: the anti-codon, which is responsible for specific mRNA codon recognition, and the 3' end, to which the tRNAs corresponding amino acid is attached (by aminoacyl-tRNA synthetases). tRNAs cope with the degeneracy of the genetic code in two manners: having more than one tRNA (with a specific anti-codon) for a particular amino acid; and 'wobble' base-pairing, i.e. permitting non-standard base-pairing at the 3rd anti-codon position. Lineage: Eukaryota; Metazoa; Chordata; Mammalia; Artiodactyla; Camelidae. The record is from Rfam by way of RNAcentral. RNAcentral also lists the same sequence under 2 other names.
GGGAGUGUAGCUCAGUGGUAGAGCACAUACUCAGCAUGUGUGAGGUCCUGGGUUCGAUCCUCAGUACCUCCA